This 271-nucleotide ribosomal RNA is filed under the name uncultured bacterium. RNAcentral's name for it is "partial 16S ribosomal RNA". It matches the Rfam family "Bacterial small subunit ribosomal RNA", at positions 524 to 789 of the family's 1533-position model. The record is from RNAcentral.
UACGUAGGGUGCAAGCGUUAAUCGGAAUUACUGGGCGUAAAGCGUGCGCAGGCGGUUUUGUAAGUCUGUCGUGAAAUCCCCGGGCUCAACCUGGGAAUUGCGAUGGAGACUGCAAGGCUAGAAUCUGGCAGAGGGGGGUAGAAUUCCACGUGUAGCAGUGAAAUGCGUAGAGAUGUGGAGGAACACCGAUGGCGAAGGCAGCCCCCUGGGUCAAGAUUGGACGCUACAUGCACGAAAGGCGUGGGGAGCAAACAGGAUUAACGAAACCCCG